AAACCCUGAUCCAGCAAUACCGCGUGUGUGAAGAAGGCCUUCGGGUUGUAAAGCACUUUUAGCAGGAAAGAAAGCCUGUACGCUAAUAUCGUAUGGUUUUGACGUUACCUGCAGAAAAAGCACCGGCUAACUCCGUGCCAGCAGCCGCGGUAAUACGGAGGGUGCAAGCGUUAAUCGGAAUUACUGGGCGUAAAGCGCGCGUAGGCGGCUUGUUAAGUCGAAUGUGAAAUCCCCGGGCUCAACCUGGGAACUGCAUCCGAUACUGGCUGGCUAGAGUGUGGUAGAGGGAAGUGGAAUUCCAGGUGUAGCGGUGAAAUGCGUAGAUAUCUGGGGGAACAUCAGUGGCGAAGGCGGCUUCCUGGACCAACACUGACGCUGAGGCGCGAAAGCGUGGGGGAGCAAACAGGAUUAGAUACCCUGGUAGUCCACGCCGUAAACGAUGUCAACUAGCCGUAGGGAGCAUCUGGCUCUUUGUGGCGCAGCUAACGCGAUAAGUUGACCGCCUGGGGAGUACGGCCGCAAGCUA
This 526-nucleotide ribosomal RNA is filed under the name uncultured bacterium. RNAcentral describes it as "bacterial SSU rRNA". It matches the Rfam family "Bacterial small subunit ribosomal RNA", at positions 378 to 896 of the family's 1533-position model. The record is from RNAcentral.